RNAcentral lists this long non-coding RNA (1875 nucleotides) under Leguminivora glycinivorella. RNAcentral describes it as "uncharacterized LOC125236254". The record is from RNAcentral. Lineage: Eukaryota; Metazoa; Arthropoda; Insecta; Lepidoptera; Tortricidae.
ACUGGCAACAUUCUCAAGUUGUCAUCCAACAAACCAAGCUAACGGCCGAAUGUGAUCUGCUCGUGUACUGUUCUGUGCUCUUUUCGCUCGUUUUUUUGCGUCGUUGUCAUUGCUGUGAAAGUGUUAUGGUGGUAAAAUUAACUUGGUGAUUGCAAUCGCAAGUAUACCUACUAAAAUAAUGGAAGAAGACACAGAAAACAAAUUGGUAUCCUGGGAUUUGCCGUCAGUAGUCGUCGAGAACUUUAAAAAAAAUGAUAUAAGCAAGGAACAGUUCAAAUAUUUGGUUUUAAAUGAUACUUGAAAGAGCUUUGCAAACACAUUGUGCACCGAAUUAAACUAAAAAGUAAACUACAAGAUUACUUAGACUCAGUUACUGAUACUGAAACUGCAUACUUCUUCAAUGAAGAUUUAAUGGUUAUUAAAGCGAAAACAAACUGUAUAGAAGUGAUGCAAGUUGAUCAAGAUCAGUCAGUUAUUCUGAUAGACAUUACUUUGGAUUUGGAUUCCUACUUAAGUGUACCAAGUAGGCUUUCACUGCCAUAAUUUGAAUUGAAGAGUAUCCGCCAAUGUACUCCACAAGUAAAUAGUGUUCUAAAUUAUUAUCAAAAAUACAAACAAUUGAACUCGCAAAAAAGAAGCAUCAUUGUUGAUGUUUUGGUGAAAUAUCACUACACAUUUAUUGUUAACAACAACAUCAAACCAGAAGAAUUCAAUUUGCUAGCUGCAAAAAUAGUUUCACUUUUCCCAACUGAAAGUAUAUAUACCUACUAUAUGAAAGCUGUGCCAACAUGCAAAUCUGCUUCAAGAAAAUAUGUGCCCGCCAAAGGCAAAUUAGUGGACAAGGUUCGAAAUCUCCUGUACAUAUCAGGAGAAAAGUGCAGGGGCUUAAACCCACUUGCUCUAAUAGGGAUUCGGAUACAGAUGUAGAGUCUGUGGAAAAUAAUCAAGGGACUGCUUCAAAUGACGACGCUAUUUGGCUGAAAUAUAAUGAGCUAUGGGACCAAGUUUGUGAAAGGUGGAAUAACACCUUUGAAUUAAGACACAAACAAUUGAAACUGUACAUGAUUUUCUUGAAACCUGGGCCAUUUGAAAAGACAGCAAAGUAGAUACUCUGCAAUGACAACGACGCAAAAAAACGAACGAAAAGAAAAAGAGCACACAAGCAGAUCACAUUCAGCCAUUAGCAUUCAGUUUGUUGGAUGACAACUUGAAAAUGUUCAAAUUCAAAUGGGAUUCAAGUUCAACCCAGGACCUUGUACUUCAUAGGCAGAGUCACUACCCACGAAGAAAGAUACAGAGGCCGUUAAAACACAAAAUAAUUCCGGUGCAGAUUUACCUGCUAUAUUUUUUAAUACCACCCAAAGGCCGGAAAUCUAGGAAAGUCAAAUUCUCAACCACUGAAUCAAUCCAGGGCUUAUUAGUUCAGAUAGAUGACGCCGGAGAUAUCGACAGCGUAAUCGCAGCCCAGAAAGCUAAGGCUGCAGCCCGGAAGGAUACCGUGCAACCCUCCGUGCUCAUACAACGACCGCUACAAAACUUCGCCCAGAUAUACAUCGUUAUUCAUGAUAUCAAAUACCACGUGCAUUCAGCUGCAAAGGCGUUCGACUUGUUGUUUAAGAUUUACCACGUUUUUCACGCCAAGUAUCCCCAAGUGUGUGAGCACCUCCGCGUAAUUAUUCAAAAAAAGUGUAUCAAAUCCAUACGGCGUAUGAUACAGUAGGUACCACCGUAUAUAGUUGAUGUUUUAAACUUAGACGUUUUAAUUUUAUUAUAGUAUAGGAUCCGUACUAAGCUCGAUCUUCACCAACGUGUUAACCAGAUGAAAAUAAGUUUCUGAACAUGUCUCCUCAAUAAAAAUGAAUGGUCAAGAUUAUU